GCUCAACCGUGGGGUGGCAUCCGAAACUGGCGGGCUUGAGUACAGGAGAGGAGAGUGGAAUUCCCGGUGUAGCGGUGGAAUGCGUAGAGAUCGGGAGGAACACCAGUGGCGAAGGCGGCUCUCUGGCCUGUAACUGACGCUGAGGCGCGAAAGCGUGGGUAGCGAACAGGAUUAGAUACCCUGGUAGUCCACGCCGUAAACGAUGAGUGCUAGGUGUUGGGGGUUUCCGCCCUCUGUGCCGAAGGUAAUCCAAUAAGCACUCCGCCUGGGGAGUACGGCCGCAAGGCUGAAACUCAAAGGAAUUGACGGGGGCCCGCACAAGCGGUGGAGCAUGUGGUUUAAUUCGAAGCAACGCGAAGAACCUUACCAGGUCUUGACAUCCCGCUGAUCGGUGUAGAGAUAUGCCUUUCCUUCGGGACAGCGGUGACAGGUGGUGCAUGGUUGUCGUCAGCUCGUGUCGUGAGAUGUUGGGCUCAGUCCCGCAACGAGCGCAACCCUUGUCGUCAGUUGCCAGCACGUAAAGGUGGGCACUCUGGCGAGACGGCCGGUGAAAGCCGGAGGAAGGUGGGGAUGACGUCAAAUCAUCAUGCCCCUUAUGUCCUGAGCUACACACGUGCUACAAUGGCCGGUACAACG
This 636-nucleotide ribosomal RNA is filed under the name uncultured bacterium. RNAcentral's name for it is "bacterial SSU rRNA". It matches the Rfam family "Bacterial small subunit ribosomal RNA", at positions 607 to 1244 of the family's 1533-position model. The record is from RNAcentral.